This 452-nucleotide ribosomal RNA is filed under the name uncultured Polaribacter sp. RNAcentral describes it as "bacterial SSU rRNA". It matches the Rfam family "Bacterial small subunit ribosomal RNA", at positions 74 to 524 of the family's 1533-position model. The record is from RNAcentral. Lineage: Bacteria; Pseudomonadati; Bacteroidota; Flavobacteriia; Flavobacteriales; Flavobacteriaceae.
UUGUGCUUGCACAGAUGACGACCGGCGCACGGGUGCGUAACGCGUAUAGAACCUACCUUUUACAGAGGAAUAGCCUUUAGAAAUGAAGAUUAAUGCCUCAUGGUAUUGUAGACUGGCAUCAGUUUAUAAUUAAAGAUUUAUCGGUAAAAGAUGGCUAUGCGUCCUAUUAGUUAGUUGGUAAGGUAACGGCUUACCAAGACAGCGAUAGGUAGGGGUCCUGAGAGGGAGAUCCCCCACACUGGUACUGAGACACGGACCAGACUCCUACGGGAGGCAGCAGUGAGGAAUAUUGGACAAUGGAGGAGACUCUGAUCCAGCCAUGCCGCGUGUAGGAAGAAUGCCCUAUGGGUUGUAAACUACUUUUAUACAGGAAGAAACACUGGUAUGUAUACCAGCUUGACGGUACUGUAAGAAUAAGGACCGGCUAACUCCGUGCCAGCAGCCGCGGUAAU